This 416-nucleotide ribosomal RNA is filed under the name uncultured bacterium. RNAcentral's name for it is "bacterial SSU rRNA". It matches the Rfam family "Bacterial small subunit ribosomal RNA", at positions 362 to 774 of the family's 1533-position model. The record is from RNAcentral.
UAUUGGUCAAUGGACGCGAGUCUGAACCAGCCAAGUAGCGUGAAGGAUGACUGCCCUAUGGGUUGUAAACUUCUUUUAUAUGGGAAUAAAGUUUUACACGUGCGGCACUCUGUAUGUACCAUAUGAAUAAGGAUCGGCUAACCCCGUGCCAGCAGCCGCGGUAAUACGGAGGAUCCGAGCGUUAUCCGGAUUUAUUGGGUUUAAAGGGAGCGUAGGUGGAUUGUUAAAGCAGUUGUGAAAGUUUGCGGCUCAACCGUAAAAUUGCAGUUGAAACUGGCAGUCUUGAGUACAGUAGAGGUGGGCGGAAUUCGUGGUGUAGCGGUGAAAUGCUUAGAUAUCACGAAGAACCCCGAUUGCGAAGGCAGCUCACUGGACUGUUGACUGACACUGAGGCUCGAAAGUGUGGGUAUCAAACA